Molecule: ribosomal RNA, 491 nt
Filed under: uncultured bacterium
Lineage: Bacteria
Description: partial 16S ribosomal RNA
Rfam family: Bacterial small subunit ribosomal RNA
Source: RNAcentral
GUGAACGCUGGCGGUAGGCCUAACACAUGCAAGUCGAACGGCAGCACAGUAAGAGCUUGCUCUUACGGGUGGCGAGUGGCGGACGGGUGAGGAAUACAUCGGAAUCUACUUUUUCGUGGGGGAUAACGUAGGGAAACUUACGCUAAUACCGCAUACGACCUACGGGUGAAAGCAGGGGAUCUUCGGACCUUGCGCGAUUGAAUGAGCCGAUGUCGGAUUAGCUAGUUGGCGGGGUAAAGGCCCACCAAGGCGACGAUCCGUAGCUGGUCUGAGAGGAUGAUCAGCCACACUGGAACUGAGACACGGUCCAGACUCCUACGGGAGGCAGCAGUGGGGAAUAUUGGACAAUGGGCGCAAGUCUGAUCCAGCCAUACCGCGUGGGUGAAGAAGGCCUUCGGGUUGUAAAGCCCUUUUGUUGGGAAAGAAAAGCAGCAGGUUAAUACCCCGCUGUUCUGACGGUACCCAAAGAAUAAGCACCGGCUAACUUCGUG